This 448-nucleotide ribosomal RNA is filed under the name uncultured bacterium. Its description in RNAcentral is "bacterial SSU rRNA". It matches the Rfam family "Bacterial small subunit ribosomal RNA", at positions 329 to 792 of the family's 1533-position model. The record is from RNAcentral.
GUCCAGACUCCUACGGGAGGCAGCAGUGGGGGAUAUUGCACAAUGGGGGAAACCCUGAUGCAGCGACGCCGCGUGGGCGAAGAAGUAUUUCGGUAUGUAAAGCCCUAUCAGCAGGGAAGAAGAAAUGACGGCACCUGAGUAAGAAGCACCGGCUAAAUACGUGCCAGCAGCCGCGGUAAUACGUAGGGGGCAAGCGUUAUCCGGAUUUACUGGGUGUAAAGGGAGCGUAGACGGCUGUGCAAGCCAGAUGUGAAAGCCCGGGGCUCAACCCCGGGACUGCAUUUGGAACUGCGUGGCUUGAGUGUCGGAGAGGCAGGCGGAAUUCCUAGUGUAGCGGUGAAAUGCGUAGAUAUUAGGAGGAACACCAGUGGCGAAGGCGGCCUGCUGGACGAUGACUGACGUUGAGGCUCGAAAGCGUGGGGAGCAAACAGGAUUAGAUACCCGUGUA